UAGGGAAUAUUGGACAAUGGGUGCGAGCCUGAUCCAGCCAUGCCGCGUGCAGGAAGGAGGCUUUCUGAGUUGUAAACUGCUUUUGCCAGAGGAUAAAAAGCCCACGCGUGGGAAAUUGAAGGUACCUGGUGAAUAAGCCACGGCUAACUACGUGCCAGCAGCCGCGGUAAUACGUAGGUGGCAAGCGUUGUCCGGAUUCAUUGUGUUUAAAGGGUGCGUAGGCGGCCUGUUAAGUCAGGGGUGAAAGACGGUGGCUCAACCAUCGCAGUGCCCUUGAUAAUGAUGGGCUUGAAUGGACUAGAGGUAGGCGGAAUGUGACAAGUAGCGGUGAAAUGCUUAGAUAUCGUCAAGAACACCGAUAGCGAAGGCAGCUUACUCAGCAGUAACUGACGCUGAGGCACGAAAGUGUGGGGAUCAAACA
RNAcentral lists this ribosomal RNA (421 nucleotides) under uncultured bacterium. RNAcentral's name for it is "bacterial SSU rRNA". It matches the Rfam family "Bacterial small subunit ribosomal RNA", at positions 355 to 774 of the family's 1533-position model. The record is from RNAcentral.